CUUGUACUCCCUCUGUCCAAAAAUACUUGUCACUGAAAUGGAUGUAUCUAGAUGUAUUUUAGUUCUAGACACAUCCAUUUUGUUGACAAGUAAUUCCGGACGGAGGGAGUACUUG
Triticum aestivum (bread wheat) is the source of this 115-nucleotide non-coding RNA. NCBI's taxonomy places the organism in Eukaryota, Viridiplantae, Streptophyta, Magnoliopsida, Poales, Poaceae. The record is from Rfam.